RNAcentral lists this ribosomal RNA (253 nucleotides) under uncultured bacterium. RNAcentral's name for it is "partial 16S ribosomal RNA". It matches the Rfam family "Bacterial small subunit ribosomal RNA", at positions 524 to 776 of the family's 1533-position model. The record is from RNAcentral.
UACGGGGGGUGCAAGCGUUGUUCGGAAUUAUUGGGCGUAAAGAGCGUGUAGGCGGUUUGUUAAGUCUGUUGUGAAAGCCCUGGGCUCAACCCAGGAAGUGCACUGGAUACUGGCAGACUUGAAUACGGGAGAGGGUAGUGGAAUUCCUAGUGUAGGAGUGAAAUCCGUAGAUAUUAGGAGGAACACCGGUGGCGAAGGCGGCUACCUGGACCGAUAUUGACGCGGAGACGCGAAAGCGUGGGUAGCAAACAGG